CAAUGGCACGUUGAACCUACCGUUCAGCUUCCCGACCGGCAAUAAGUUCGACACACGGAACUGCGAGAACGAUAACUUGCUCAAGUGGCAGUACUACCUGGAUGACGUCGUAUCGGACAUGGGCAUCACCCCGACGGAUUUCCACCACAAGGUCAUUUACUUGCCCCCAACCUUCGUCGGAUAUAGUGAGUCCGGGCCUUGUGGCUCAGGGGAAUCGUUGCGCUGCUGGCAUAUCUCAUACCCUUGGGCCUUCGGCUCGUAUGGGUAGUUUUACAGGUAUGGGGUCACACAACCCCAACCAUGUAUCACACACAUAUCUCAUACGGCUUUCCCCGCCAUUUCCCCAUAGAGCUGCCGCUGUUCCUAGGCUGUUCCUUAAGCGCCAUCGUGAUAUACUGGCUCCUUACUGCUAGCUCGCCAGCAAAUACCGCGCCUGGCCCAAAUCCUGGCACUCCAUGGUCACGCUGUGUUAUACUACGCUGUGCGAGUACAUUACACCGGAUGUAUUGGCCACUCUCCACCUCCUUGCAGGAUGCGACAACUUCACAGGCACUGCCUCCUUGGGCCCCUGGAUUAAAACUGACAGCAAAAUCAAUGAGUACGGCACGGGUCUCAUAUGGAUGGCCGGAGACGUGUUCCCGAACAUUGAGUACUUCUUUCACGAGGUUGGUCACACCCUGUCUAUGGGACACGCCACCAUCCCCAACGGCUGCGAUUCGAGAGACCAGUGCGACCACACCUGCCCCAUGGGGCCCACGGACGGCCAGGGCAUCCGCUGCCUUAACGCGCCGCACAUGUGGCAGGUGCGUAUUCGUCAUGGUGCUACGAACGUCGGGUUGCCGUACAUAAGGCAGGACGGCACGAUUCACGGUUUUUACGAUGUUAGGCAGGCGUGACGAAAUCAGCGGAUUGGACGGCUGCGUUCAUGGCUGAGCCGCCCAGGCAAGGGCCUUUUAUAAAUGACGCCUGCUAGCACGAGUGCAUCGCUAAAUCUGUGAGGGAGAAGCCAUCCCUCACCAUUCCGCAUGCGCAUCUUCGUUUUUUGGUCUCGUGCGUUAGUUGACUACCGGUAUUGUGUACGGUGUGCAGUUGAGAAAAGGUUUUACUCGGUUCCAUUGCUUAAAGCUUGCCGCAACGGCCAGUCCCCCUUCGUCUUUUGCAUACGCACUAUCCGGGCCGAAACACCAGCUCACGGUCUUUUCCUAGGGCUCUGGUGCUCGAUGUAAUACCUGCUACUACUAACAGUCCAAGCCUGCCGCAAGCCCUGAAGUCAUGCCUCUUGACUUUGGUAUCGCCCCGCCUGUUUGUUAUGCAGCUUGGCUGGAGUCAACCCAUGCGGCGCCUCACUGAGUCAGAUCUGCCGUACGGUGCCAGCCAAGAAAUCUUGAUCCCGAGACAAAUGUCCACCAAGGACAGCUAUGUGGUCGUGUCGGGAGUCAGGGGCCUGGUGCCAACUGACGCCAUGUACUUUGCUGUCCGCAUGAAUGAGUACCCGUACGAAUUGCCAUUUGAGGUGAACGAGCCGUACAUCGUAGUGCAUUCGUACAACGGCACAUCGACGGUGCCAUACAUGCAAACGGUGCUUCUGGGGGAGAUAUCCGUGAAUAACAGAUUUGUUCAUAACACCUCAAAAGUGGUCGUGAAGUUCAUUGGCUGGGAUGCCGUCCGUGGUGCCACUGCGCGCUUCUGUCGCCGCUCGAGCACGCGAGAGCAGACCUGUGGCGAUGGCCUGGACGACGACUGCGACUUUCUGCCGGACGAGCUGGACCCAGAUUGUGCCGGCAGGCCUGUUACCGGCAACAGAGAGAGGCCGCCACGGCCUCCACCCCAACGGAGCUACAGACCACCAACGCCGAGGCCGUCACCACCGCGGCCUGGGGGUUUACAAACAGGGUAAACAGGAUAACGGUUGCUUUCUGCGACUCAGCGAAGCAGCAGUGGUGCAUUUCUUAGGGUUCCCGGUAAUGGCGAUAGAGACACAAUCUGGACCGCUAACUUGCAGGUCCUCAGUGGUAACAUUCAUCUGCAUGUGUUGCUCAUAGCACUGUAGCCUGGGUACCUGCAAACAUGCGAGAGAUGUUGGCAUGUCCUCGGGGAGGAUGUGUCUGAGAGCGCUAGUGUGCUAGUCCAGUCCGCCAGUCCAGUACACACACACACACACACACACACACACGCGCGCGCGUGCGUAGACAUGGAGAGCGCUGGGAGUGUAGUCCUUUGUUCUGCAGUGAACAAAUGCAGUGUUCCAAAUUGUUGGCGGCUUGUAGUAUAGUUGUUGUUGGCAAGUGGCAUUAGCUAAUAGGCGCGGGUUGCUUGUUGGUUGGCAUGUAGCGCUCGUUUACAGCUUUGCCUCCCUGCAUCCAGUGCAGCCUUAGGCCUUAGUUGGUGGAAAGCCAGUACAGGAGUCUGUGAAGAUGCCAGGCAAGGCAGAGACUUGUGAUCUGCAGCCUCUGCAGUCUCUGGGUAGCGACCACGGCUACAUACGGAUGGCUAUGGUGGCUAAGUUCACUUAUUCACUGCUGCUGCGUCAACUGCCCGAUGCAGCGUCCCUACCUAACGAGGUAGCUUCCAGACAGCCAUUCCGCCGAGGACUGAUAGGUUUGGCGGAGUGUCUUAUCUGCACCUCUUCGGCUAUACAUUUGAUGGGCGGGGGUGCGUGCAAGGCCGACGUACAUGCAGAGUAGUUGCAGGCUCGCGGAGAAUUGUGCCAGUAGUGUGCGGUGUUGUAGUAAAUAACAUUUCAACGACAUAAUUAACUAGGCCAUAACAGCGCAUACCGCAUGUGUUUUAUAAGGGCCUUAGGCAGCUUUACAGGUUAGGCAGUCAGUCAUCCGUCAACCGGGCUGACUUCCGGAAAGUUAGUUCAUUCAGAGUUCAUCCAUCCCGCAGGCGCCGUGGGGGCCUGAGAUGUUAAGCAUGUAUGUGUAACAGUUUUUUAUGGUCACCUCAAUCUCUGAUUCCGACGGCAUGCAACCGUGGAGCUAGAGGCAUGCUCCUUCCAAUCAUAGUGCCAAGUACGGCCCCUUGCAGCAGAGCGCGCGCGUACGUUAAUUAUCGAUCUGUUAGAAGACAGCUGACGUAUCGCCAGCACCGCGAACGGUGCACAGGUGUCCUUGACCUUAGGUGCAGGAUGGGAAAGUGGAUAGUGGAAGCAGGUUUAUGUUGGGAAUGUUAGCAGUGGCGGCAAGGAUAGUAAGCAUUUGCUUCUGCAGGUACAGCAUUACGGGUGCAUGAGGCUACUUGCAAGCUGUAUGUAUGUAUGUAUGUAUGUAUGUAUGUAUGUAUGUAUGUAUGCAUGCAUUAUGUUGCCCGAAAUUGUGCAAGGCCAGGGAAACGUUGGCCCCCCUGCUUGCUUUGUUACCUAUCUUCGCUGCCCGGACCCAGCUUUCCGGAGUUAUCUGGAACAAAGCCAAGCCGCCACGUACUGUGUGGACGCGCAGAGGCAGGCGGUGGAAGCAUGAAGCGCGUGCGGGGGGGAUUGCAACACGUCCCUCACGGCUCGGGCUGUCUGCAUGAUCAAAUCUGGUCACGAGCGUUAAAUACCACCUCCUGGUUAUUAUAGCUUCCGAGGGCUCGUCAUUAGUUGGAGAGAUGGAUGGACAGAUGGAUGGAUUACUUGUUUCGUUGGAAGUGCGAGGUAGGAUGGUGCUUAUAGGCGAAUUGGCAGCCCUUGAGCUCUCGGCUCGUAUUAGGGUGGUUUGCAGGUACAGGGAACGCACCCACGGCAGCCACCAUCCGCAUUUCAGAUCUGCUGCAACAGGAUGAUAGAUAAGCAGCAAAUACAAGAAAUCCGUCACCACUUCCUGACAGCUUUCCUUACACUGCACUUCUCGGCUGGGUCCAGUCAGUGCUGGCAGGCAGGUUGGCUUCCAUGCAAGCCGUCUUUAGAGCUCUCCUCGCGUAAACUCGUACUUAAUGAUCGCCAGGCAAGAGAGCUGAAUGAUUUAUGAAUGAUGGAAUGCCUAUGGACUCAUUAUCAAUGGCUGACAUAGCCAGAAGCAGAGAUGAAUUGGCUUGGGGGAAGAUGCCCUAUCGUGUUCCCGUUUUCCGUCUGGGCUCCUUAGAUACUUAUUAGGUUGUGUGGGAUGAUUUUUGCAUAUGUUAGCAGGUGCGGGCCCUAGCAAAUUAUUUUAGGAUAAGUCGCAGCGUUUCCUUUUGGCGGGCUUUGCAGCAACUCCAUGUAUCAACGCGCAACACCUUUGUCGCUGGAGAAGCGUCUUCCUGUGCGGUGUAAUAUCUAACAAGCAGAUGUCGAAGUUUUACUGCAUUGCUACGACUGCAAACGCAUUCGAUGCAAUUUGUACUGCUACAGCACGUCCAGGAGCAACGCCCCUUGCAGUCGUUCUGCAGUUACGUAUUACUAGGAAAAAAAUAAACUUAUAUAAGAGCGCAUUUGGGAACCGAAAAAUUGCCCUGCUGCUUGCCAGUGUACGUUGCGAUGAGAAGGAUACUGCCAACGAAAAGGACUCGCGGCCUGAAUCGAUCUUGUUGCAUCACUUCGUUCAAGCCUGUUGCUAGCAUAAUACUGCAUGGCCUCGUCGUUUGGGCCUGCUGCGACGCCAGGCAAACACCUCGAGUCCAACCAUAAGGGCAAAUUCCCUUCCUCUACAAAAAACUACGGGCGCCAAGGACCAUUGAGCUUUGUCGCCAGCGCUAAGCUUUGUGCACGAGUCCUCUGACGUAAUAGUCUUUAAAUUGCACAGUUUUGCAUUUUACAUGUAUACUGAAGACCAAUACACUGUGUGGCCUUCAUUACUAGCAUAUAGUGCCAGAUGCUACCAAAUUUGCAACUAUGUUUUUAAUUGGCUGUAGUACCGCCUCAGGGGAAGCUACGCUGUGGCAUACAAGAUGUAGCUUAAAGUUUGUUGUGAAGCUGAAAAAUCCGGAUCCGGCAAUGAUUACAAAAAGCUGACACACCCACAAAGCAAAUAUUGAUCACAAUACAUCCUUAACGAUCGAUUCGCUUCGACGUUAUCUUGGCAGGUUUGGGGAGUCCAGCGAUAGGUAGUUUGCACCUAACACUCAAAAAGCUGCCGCCUGCUGGUAUAGAGAAACUCUCCCGCACGGAGCUCGAGGAUUUUAAUCUAUUCGCUGAGUAUAUCUGCGGUCCUGGAAAAGGUCAGUGGUCGGUGUUGAACAAGACAAUCACCUGUCGCCUGACAGUUAUUUUAACCUUGCAAAAAAGUCACCGGUGCCUACAAAUGCCCAGCAGGUUCUUUCUAUGCCCUUACACCGGUCUUGAUACGCGCGUGGUCGCAGCGACCGCGGCCAACUUGAGGGACAAUCAUGAGAACAUCAGCAAUAUUCACCCUUCGGGCGUCAGUCCUCAUACUUACCUGCAUUAGCCACCUUGGUCUUAUAUCCCAGGCGACAUUUGAUGAAUCUAGCGGGACAGCGAAGGGUAAGCUCUGCUUCCAAAUGGAGACCGAAUUCCCCAAAGGCGUCGGCCAGCGCCAAUAAAUCGAGAAGCUUUAAACUCACGCCUGUGACUACAGGAAGCUUACUGAUGCUCAUGUCGUCUAUUCAUGGCGGCCAAGACGCUUCGAAGUAUUACCUGCGACAAGAUGACGGACAAAUGUACAGCCUCUCCUUCUGCAGCGAGUUGGGUUCGCUCGGCCUGGCAUCCAAUCUUCGGGUUCAGGUGAAUUACAACCGCAUUGAGGAUGGCGUCAUGUACUCGUGCCAAAUUCCCGUUCCGCUGGAUGACGACUCGCCGUCGUCGACGCCGGUAUCGGCGUCGAAGCGGCGCGAGCUGUUUGGACCCACCAUCUCCACGCCCAAACGCCCCACCUUCCUCAUAUACAUCGUCACACUCUGCGGUUUCAGUCAACCGGCGGUGGCUACUGCCUCGGUGAGUGUCAUGCGGCGUCCUCCUGUGCCUUCUAUCCUCUAAAGCCCUAGCAUCAUUACGCUCGUGAACUUAACGCUUGCUAUCUCCGGUGCCACGUCAGUAGAUCGUAAUCCUGUUAGCUACAUGUCACAGCUGAUGUAACCAGAGUUUUAGAUCUUGUUGCCAUUGCCCCGCAAUCGCACGAAUCGCUACGGUGCAUGUAUGCCUCGCGACUGCUUUAAAUGGGAGGUCUGUUCGGGCUGGUUGUAUGCUUGUAAGCGACCCACUCUCCAUUCCUCGUCCCCAUCUCACUUUAUAAACCCCUGCCACCUAACUCUUCCGUUAGCGCGUACCUUAUGCAGCUAUAACCCAUCCGUUUUCCUUCCAUCCGCAGAGAAUGCGGGAUUUCUUCUUCAGAAACAACUCGAUUUCUCUUUCGGGUUAUUACGACACAUGUUCGUACGGACAGAUCUCCGUGCUACCGGAGCAAGUGGAGAUUGUUACCGGGCUGGAAAUUCCUUGCAAUGGCACGUUGGACCUACCGUUCCGCUUCCCGACCGGCAAUAAGUUCGACACACGGAACUGUGAGAACGACAACUUGGUCAAGUGGCAGUACUACCUGGAUGACGUCGUAUCGGACAUGGGCAUCACCCCGACGGAUUUCCACCACAAGGUCAUUUACUUGCCCCCAACCUUCGUCGGAUAUAGUGAGUCCAGGCCGUGUGGCUUUGGGGAAUCUUUGCGCUUCAGGUUUACAGCUCAUACAGCUUUCUCCGCCAUUUCGCUUAACAUGGCGCUGCUCGUGCCGCUGCUCCUUGAGGCUGCUCCUUGAGCGCCAUCGUGAUAUGCUGGCGGCCUCCCGCUGGCCCGCCAGCAUAUGCCGCCCCUGGCCCAAAUCCUGGCACUCCGCGGUCACGUUAUGUUGGGCUACACGCUGUGUGGGUAAAUUACUUACACCGGAUAUAUUGG
This 6799-nucleotide long non-coding RNA is filed under the name Volvox carteri. Its description in RNAcentral is "long non-coding RNA (VCAR_LNC002446)". The record is from RNAcentral. Lineage: Eukaryota; Viridiplantae; Chlorophyta; Chlorophyceae; Chlamydomonadales; Volvocaceae.